This 425-nucleotide ribosomal RNA is filed under the name uncultured bacterium. Its description in RNAcentral is "bacterial SSU rRNA". It matches the Rfam family "Bacterial small subunit ribosomal RNA", at positions 354 to 796 of the family's 1533-position model. The record is from RNAcentral.
GUGGGGAAUUUUGCGCAAUGGGGGAAACCCUGACGCAGCAACGCCGCGUGGAGGAUGAAAUCCCUUGGGAUGUAAACUCCUUUCGAUCGGGACGAUUAUGACGGUACCGGAAGAAGAAGCCCCGGCUAACUUCGUGCCAGCAGCCGCGGUAAUACGAGGGGGGCAAGCGUUGUUCGGAAUUAUUGGGCGUAAAGGGCGCGUAGGCGGUUUGACAAGUCUGAUGUGAAAUCUCUGGGCUCAACCCAGAGUCUGCAUUAGAAACUGUCGGGCUUGAGUAUGGGAGAGGUGAGUGGAAUUUCCGGUGUAGCGGUGAAAUGCGUAGAUAUCGGAAGGAACACCUGUGGCGAAAGCGGCUCACUGGACCAUAACUGACGCUGAGGCGCGAAAGCUAGGGGAGCAAACAGGAUUAGAAACCCUAGUAGUCC